CCUUGUGAAAGCCCAGAAGGCUCAACAACAGAAGGACUGGAGUUUGCUGAAAGAAGGAAAGAAAAAGAAGGAACAAAGACAUGCACUAGGUAGUACUGAAGUCCUGUGCUUAUUCCCAGAAGACAA
This is a long non-coding RNA of Mastomys coucha (southern multimammate mouse), 126 nucleotides long. RefSeq lists it as uncharacterized. Lineage: Eukaryota; Metazoa; Chordata; Mammalia; Rodentia; Muridae. The record is from RefSeq and is a predicted model, not a curated record. The transcript has 3 exons.